Molecule: small nucleolar RNA, 135 nt
Filed under: Dasypus novemcinctus (nine-banded armadillo)
Lineage: Eukaryota; Metazoa; Chordata; Mammalia; Cingulata; Dasypodidae
Description: Small nucleolar RNA SNORA75 (ENSDNOG00000039198.1)
Rfam family: Small nucleolar RNA SNORA75
About the family: U23 belongs to the H/ACA class of snoRNAs. snoRNAs bind a number of proteins (including dyskerin, Gar1p and Nop10p in the case of the H/ACA class) to form snoRNP complexes.
Source: RNAcentral
GUCUUCUCAUUGAGCUCCUUUCUGUCAGUUGGUGGCAGUUUAUGGAUUCGCACGAGAAGAAGAGACAAUUCACAGAGCUAGCCUUGUUUUACCUUCUGUCUUCAGAGGUAUAUUUUGCUGCUUUGUGAUACAUUU